This 503-nucleotide ribosomal RNA is filed under the name uncultured archaeon. RNAcentral describes it as "bacterial SSU rRNA". It matches the Rfam family "Archaeal small subunit ribosomal RNA", at positions 345 to 849 of the family's 1478-position model. The record is from RNAcentral.
AACCUUCACAAUGUGCGAAAGCGCGAUGAGGGGAUCCCAAGUGCUUGCUCGUAAGAGUAAGCUGUUUUUAUGUCUAAAACGCAUAGAGAGUAAGGGCUGGGUAAGACGGGUGCCAGCCGCCGCGGUAAUACCUGCAGCUCAAGUGGUGACCGCUAUUAUUGGGCCUAAAACAUUCGUAGCCGGUUUGGUAAAUGCCUGGGUAAAUCGUAUAGCUUAACUAUACGAAUUCCGGGUAGACUGCCAAACUUGAGACCGGGAGAAGCUAGAGGUACUCCUUGGGUAGAGGUGAAAUUCUGUAAUCCUAGGGGGACCACCAGUGGCGAAGGCGUCUAGCUAGAACGGGUUUGACGGUGAGGAAUGAAGCCCUGGGGCGCAAACCGGAUUAGAUACCCGGGUAGUCCAGGGUGUAAACGCUGCUUGCUUGAUGUUAGUUGGGCUCCGAGCCCAAUUAGUGUCGGAGAGAAGUUGUUAAGCAAGCUGCCUGGGAAGUACGAUCGCAAGAU